UCCCUGGUGGCUCAGCCAGUAAAGCAUCUGCCUGCAAUGCAGGAAACCCAGGUUCGAUUCCUGGGUCGGGAA
This 72-nucleotide transfer RNA is filed under the name Bos taurus (domestic cattle). It matches the Rfam family "tRNA". Rfam says of the family: Transfer RNA (tRNA) molecules are approximately 80 nucleotides in length. RNAcentral also lists the same sequence under 1 other name. Lineage: Eukaryota; Metazoa; Chordata; Mammalia; Artiodactyla; Bovidae. The record is from Rfam by way of RNAcentral.